UUUUGGUUCUGAAGAUCGCAUUGAACAACCUGGAGAGCCACUCCACUCCUGACAUACCCAUGCAUUUUCAAAACUUUAUCGGGAUCUCCAGGCCCGGCCACUCGACCCCUACUCAUCCUACGCAAAGCCCCCACGACCUCCUCCGUCCUAAUGCACCUGCAGUACCCAAGGUCUCUAUGUUGCUCUGAAUGCCCCAACUCCCCUAGCUC
This 209-nucleotide long non-coding RNA is filed under the name Nicotiana benthamiana. RNAcentral's name for it is "long non-coding RNA (NBEN_LNC011850)". The record is from RNAcentral. Lineage: Eukaryota; Viridiplantae; Streptophyta; Magnoliopsida; Solanales; Solanaceae.